RNAcentral lists this ribosomal RNA (497 nucleotides) under uncultured bacterium. RNAcentral's name for it is "partial 16S ribosomal RNA". It matches the Rfam family "Bacterial small subunit ribosomal RNA", at positions 28 to 507 of the family's 1533-position model. The record is from RNAcentral.
GAUGAACGCUGGCGGCGUGCCUAAUACAUGCAAGUCGAGCGAACGGACGAGAAGCUUGCUUCUCUGAUGUUAGCGGCGGACGGGUGAGUAACACGUGGAUAACCUACCUAUAAGACUGGGAUAACUUCGGGAAACCGGAGCUAAUACCGGAUAAUAUUUUGAACCGCAUGGUUCAAAAGUGAAAGACGGUCUUGCUGUCACUUAUAGAUGGAUCCGCGCUGCAUUAGCUAGUUGGUAAGGUAACGGCUUACCAAGGCAACGAUGCAUAGCCGACCUGAGAGAGUGAUCGGCCACACUGGAGCUGAGACACGGUCCAGACUCCUACGGGAGGCAGCAGUAGGGAAUCUUCCGCAAUGGGCGAAAGCCUGACGGAGCAACGCGGCGUGAGUGAUGAAGGUCUUCGGAUCGUAAAACUCUGUUAUUAGGGAAGAACAUAUGUGUAAGUAACUGUGCACAUCUUGACGGUACCUAAUCAGAAAGCAACGGCUAACUACGUG